ACGCAGAGUCUGCGCAAUAGUCAUAGUGAAGUUCUAGAUGCCCAGGGCUCUUUCCAGCAUCCGAGGGCAAGGCUGGCGCGGUGUUUUUUGGCAGGUGCCCACCUACCUAACGGACUACCUAACGGGCCACGAUUCUGAAAGGGACCCAGUUCACGAUUUGGGGUUGCGGUUAAACAAGAUGAAAAAGAAGAAAAAAAAUCACUCGGAGCUUUGUAACGAGACUAGGGACUGCCUUCCCUGCAGCUGUACAGAGUGUUAACCUAUCCAUAAAGUGGGUGUCUACAUACACGAAGCUUUGCUGUGCAAGUGGCAUGUGAAGACAGACUUUGAUGGCACAGGAGUAAAUCUCCUUGACUAGCCGGAGAGCUGACUAACUUCUCUGUCCCUACAUCUUCUGUCCCUUUGGGGUUUUAAGUUUUCAAAUUGAAAUUAAAAUUCCAUCU
Microtus ochrogaster (prairie vole) is the source of this 443-nucleotide long non-coding RNA. RefSeq lists it as uncharacterized. The record is from RefSeq and is a predicted model, not a curated record. The transcript is spliced from 2 exons. Lineage: Eukaryota; Metazoa; Chordata; Mammalia; Rodentia; Cricetidae.